This 496-nucleotide long non-coding RNA is filed under the name Vigna radiata. Its description in RNAcentral is "long non-coding RNA (VRAD_LNC016831)". Lineage: Eukaryota; Viridiplantae; Streptophyta; Magnoliopsida; Fabales; Fabaceae. The record is from RNAcentral.
UAAUUUAAAAGAGAUAAAUAAGAAAACAUUAUGCACUCUAUUCAAUGCAACGUUAAAUUAAAUAAAUGAAAAUGCUAAUUGAAGACAUUAAAUGCAUAUCUUUCACAGUUCAGGUGUUAAAAUAAAAUACUUUGGAACUCUCCUAAAUUGAAUCCACAUUUUCAAAAAAAAAAAAAAAAGUAAAUUGUCCAUGCACCACCCAUACUCAAUUACCGUGCAGCUGCUUCAAAGUAACACUACGAAUCCACUUCUUUCUCCUCUGCCAACCGUCCCAUCAAAUUUGUUGUUUUUCAUUCUUCUAAGUAAAAUGGAAGUAUAAAGCAAUUAAUCAUCAGACCCACCGUGUUUCAUUCAAUAAAGCUUGGAGAAAAAAAAAUAUAUAAACCCCAAUGCGUCAGCUACUUCUGGCAUCCACAAAACAAGGAAAAUUGCACCAUCUAAACCGUGAUAUUCUUCAACAGUGAAAAGAAAAAAAAAAAAAACAAGAAAUGUUUCC